AGAGUUUGAUCAUGGAUCAGAACGAACGCUGGCGGCAUGCCUAAUACAUGCAAGUCGAACGAGAUCUUCGGGUCUAGUGGCGCACGGGUGCGUAACGCGUGGGAAUCUGCCCUUGGGUUCGGAAUAACAGUUGGAAACGACUGCUAAUACCGGAUGAUGACGUAAGUCCAAAGAUUUAUCGCCCAAGGAUGAGCCCGCGUAGGAUUAGCUAGUUGGUGAGGUAAAGGCUCACCAAGGCGACGAUCCUUAGCUGGUCUGAGAGGAUGAUCAGCCACACUGGGACUGAGACACGGCCCAGACUCCUACGGGAGGCAGCAGUAGGGAAUAUUGGACAAUGGGGGCAACCCUGAUCCAGCAAUGCCGCGUGAGUGAUGAAGGCCUUAGGGUUGUAAAGCUCUUUUACCCGGGAUGAUAAUGACAGUACCGGGAGAAUAAGCCCCGGCUAACUCCGUGCCAGCAGCCGCGGUAA
This 469-nucleotide ribosomal RNA is filed under the name uncultured bacterium. Its description in RNAcentral is "bacterial SSU rRNA". It matches the Rfam family "Bacterial small subunit ribosomal RNA", at positions 8 to 523 of the family's 1533-position model. The record is from RNAcentral.